UGAGGAAUAUUGGUCAAUGGACGAGAGUCUGAACCAGCCAAGUAGCGUGAAGGAUGACUGCCCUAUGGGUUGUAAACUUCUUUUAUAUGGGAAUAAAGUAUUCCACGUGUGGGAUUUUGUAUGUACCAUAUGAAUAAGGAUCGGCUAACUCCGUGCCAGCAGCCGCGGUAAUACGGAGGAUCCGAGCGUUAUCCGGAUUUAUUGGGUUUAAAGGGAGCGUAGGUGGAUUGUUAAGUCAGUUGUGAAAGUUUGCGGCUCAACCGUAAAAUUGCAGUUGAAACUGGCAGUCUUGAGUACAGUAGAGGUGGGCGGAAUUCGUGGUGUAGCGGUGAAAUGCUUAGAUAUCACGAAGAACUCCGAUUGCGAAGGCAGCUCACUAGACUGCAACUGACACUGAUGCUCGAAAGUGUGGGUAUCAAACAGGAUUAGAUACCCUGGUAGUCCACACAGUAAACGAUGAAUACUCGCUGUUUGCGAUAUACAGUAAGCGGCCAAGCGAAAGCAUUAAGUAUUCCACCUGGGGAGUACGCCGGCAACGGUGAAACUCAAAGGAAUUGACGGGGGCCCGCACAAGCGGAGGAACAUGUGGUUUAAUUCGAUGAUACGCGAGGAACCUUACCCGGGCUUGAAUUGCAACUGAAUGAUGUGGAGACAUGUCAGCCGCAAGGCAGUUGUGAAGGUGCUGCAUGGUUGUCGUCAGCUCGUGCCGUGAGGUGUCGGCUUAAGUGCCAUAACGAGCGCAACCCUUAUCGAUAGUUACCAUCAGGUUGUGCUGGGGACUCUGUCGAGACUGCCGUCGUAAGAUGUGAGGAAGGUGGGGAUGACGUCAAAUCAGCACGGCCCUUACGUCCGGGGCUACACACGUGUUACAAUGGGGGGUACAGAAGGCAGCUACACGGCGACGUGAUGCUAAUCCCGAAAGCCUCUCUCAGUUCGGAUUGGAGUCUGCAACCCGACUCCAUGAAGCUGGAUUCGCUAGUAAUCGCGCAUCAGCCACGGCGCGGUGAAUACGUUCCC
This 1017-nucleotide ribosomal RNA is filed under the name uncultured bacterium. RNAcentral describes it as "bacterial SSU rRNA". It matches the Rfam family "Bacterial small subunit ribosomal RNA", at positions 355 to 1375 of the family's 1533-position model. The record is from RNAcentral.